ACGAUAAAAUAAAAUAAAAUAAAAUAAAAUAAAAUAAUAAAAUAAAAAAAUAAAAGAAUGAGCUGAUCUCCAUGAACUGACUUAGGAGGAUGUUCAUGAUACAUGUAUUACAAUUUUUUAAAAAGUUCAUAACAAUCUAUGUUUCUAUCACCUGUUGCUCAGUAGCAAACCACUCCAGAAGAGGCCAGUUCUUUGGCCCAUGAGGCAUCAGCAGGGCUCAUUCCUGUGGUUGCCUUCAACUGAGAGCUUAGCUGGGCUGGAACUUCUGAGGUGGCUUCUCCUCUUCCAGGGCUUCUCUCCACGUAGCUGCUGAUCAUUCUGCCGUCUCGCCUGAGCGUCCUUGCAGCAUGGUGGCUGGAUCUUAAGAGCAACCUUCUGAGGAACAUCCUCGGAGCCAAAUCUUUUCACAUAUCCUAAAUGAUUGUCUCAGGAUAAGUUCUAAGAAAAGGCACUGCUGAGUUGAAGCUUGGGAACUUUAUAAGGAUGUCACACAUUGUGUCAGACGGUCCUGCCAACCAGCAGAUGCUCCCAGCCCAUCAGCAGGCUGGGGGAGGGCAUAUUGUGGUUCCAUCUGGUAUCUGCCCUCAUAAGAACGCAGUGCCCAUUCCACAGAUGGAAGAACUGAGACCCAGAAAGAGGAAGCAACUUGUCCCAAGCCAACACAGCAAUAUGCAGCCAAGGGGGUGGGGCACCAGAUCAGCCAGAAGUUUCUUUGCUCCCGUCUUGCCUUGGAUGCCCUAGCCUGGGCCACAUCUCCCCUCCUGCUCUGGGCAAAGUUUGCCCCCUUCCUGGCAGCCAGUGAUCUGAGCCCUGCUCACUUGCCUGCCCCUCCCCCCUCCCCGUGACCUCCCCCCUCCCCGUCUGACCUCCACCCAGAUCAAUCUGCUUUCAGUUCCCCUGAAGAAAUAAAAUGCUGCCUGGUCUCUGAA
Sus scrofa (pig) is the source of this 929-nucleotide non-coding RNA. Lineage: Eukaryota; Metazoa; Chordata; Mammalia; Artiodactyla; Suidae. The record is from RefSeq and is a predicted model, not a curated record.